RNAcentral lists this ribosomal RNA (372 nucleotides) under uncultured organism. RNAcentral's name for it is "partial 16S ribosomal RNA". It matches the Rfam family "Bacterial small subunit ribosomal RNA", at positions 527 to 896 of the family's 1533-position model. The record is from RNAcentral.
GUAGGUGGCAAGCGUUGUCCGGAAUUAUUGGGCGUAAAGCGCGCGCAGGCGGUUCUUUAAGUCUGAUGUGAAAGCCCACGGCUCAACCGUGGAGGGUCAUUGGAAACUGGAGAACUUGAGUACAGAAGAGGAAAGCGGAAUUCCACGUGUAGCGGUGAAAUGCGUAGAGAUGUGGAGGAACACUAGUGGCGAAGGCGGCUUUCUGGUCUGUAACUGACGCUGAGGCGCGAAAGCGUGGGGAGCAAACAGGAUUAGAUACCCUGGUAGUCCACGCCGUAAACGAUGAGUGCUAAGUGUUAGGGGGUUUCCGCCCCCCUUAGCGCUGCAGCUAACGCAUUAAGCACUCCGCCUGGGAGUACGGCCGCAAGGCUG